RNAcentral lists this long non-coding RNA (2584 nucleotides) under Homo sapiens (human). RNAcentral describes it as "non-protein coding lnc-ACTR8-3:1". The record is from RNAcentral. Lineage: Eukaryota; Metazoa; Chordata; Mammalia; Primates; Hominidae.
CCAGGGAUGUGGGCUUUCCACAGCUCAUCUCACUAUUAGCCUGUUGAGGUCCCAGUAAGUGGCACAGAGAAGUCCCAGGAUGGAUGUGGUCAGUGGUGAGGAGGGCAAUCCAUGCCUGAGGGAAGGUGAGGAGUGAGUAGGUGAAAGGAGGUUAGCACCUGUACCUGGAGGAGAGAACAGCAUGUGCAAAGGCCCUGGGGAGGAAGGGAAGGUGGACCAUGCACCUGGAUCCCAGGGAGCGAUGCUCACAGUGGGAUGAUGGCUACAGAGGCCGGGGCCUGGCCUGGUCGGGCUUAGGACAAGAGGGCCUGGGGGGCCAUGAGGAAGCUUGUCCCACUGUCUUAGGGAGAUGGAGGCCUGGGUUGGGGGUGGCAUGAGAUUCCUGAGAGAGGAGGAGCAGCUGCCCAGGGUUACUCCCUGGACCACCACCGCCUCUGGGCCCAGCCAGGUCUCAUUCUCAAACUGGGAUCCUUCCCACCCUGGGCCACUGCACUGCACUCCCCUCAGCCCACCACAGGGCUGGGUAUUCAGACGGUUGUGCUCCUGGGAGGCUCUGCUGGGCUGUAGGAAAGCAGCCAAGCCUUCUUGGCUUGAGACCCCUGGCAUGGGAACUUGGUGUCUUGCACCUUUUUGCAUGCUGACUAUGACCUUUUGGCUUCUGUGAUGUGGCUUUGUUGGCUGGGCCUGUGGUGGAGGGGGUCCCAGCCUUUGGCUUGACAUGGGGCAGGGGCUCGACCUCUUCAGGCUCGUUUCCCUCUCUGUGACAUGGGGCUGAUGGUGACGGAGUGAUGAUGAAGACCCUCCACCCCACCCAGCAUCUUUGGUGACUUAAAUGUGAUAACCCAUGUGACGUGCUCAGCAGGGGUAGCUGCUCCUGUUAAUAUAACUCAGUUUGGUCCCAUGGUUUAAUGGAGCUGUAUGAUCAGAUAAAGGCAGCCACAGAGCAGUGUGUUCUUACCCACACAAAGCCCAGCCUAGCAUGUAGGGAAUCUUGUUCGAGGUCUCACAGAGAUUGCAGGUCAAAGCCAGUACUAGAAGGCCAGAUGGAAAAAAGCAGGUGACCUGCCCUGAAUCCUCCUUUGGCAAAUGACCCCCAGAUGGGCACAGGUGGCCAUGGCCCUUACCACAUGUUUUGCAGUUUCCCCAAAAGACUGUCAUCAUCAGCCUGGCCUGUGGGCACAGUGACAGGUGUGAAGGUCAAGUGCAAGCCUGGGGCAGUGCUGACUUCAGGGUGCCAAGAUUCAGGGCUGUAAAGUAACUUUCUGGGCUUUGAAGCUCAUGAGUAGCUGAGCUUUGUGCUAGGCCUACCUGAGCCUUGUCCACAAUGGGCUAUGGUGGCCACUUUUUAAAUGUGUUAACAGGGUCCUUUCAUGUGGAUGGACUCACUUUUUAAUGGGCAGUACCCUAUUAGGGGAGUGUUAGGUUGUUUAUAAUUCUUUGCCACUGUAAACAACACAGGGACAGGGCCCUUGUGCUUGUUUUUCUAUGGUUGUGCAGAGCACUCUCUUGAUUAAAUUCCUGUAAGCAGGAUUGCUGAGACAAAGGGCUAUACCUUUAAAUUGCAUCUGUUUUUCUGGAAAUGUUGACAUGCUCCCAGGUUGUCCCCAAAGUGGAAUCAUUAUUUAUCAUUGGCCUUGUCCAGCCUGAGCUCCUCAAAGGCUGAGCAAGUUUGAGGCAUCAUUUUGCAUGCAGGACUAGGCUGGUGUGGCUCGGCCUCUCUCCAGAGUUCUGUCUUCUCCUCUUGGGUGACCAGUGAAAGCUAGGACUGUAAUGGCCAAAGGAUCUAAUCCUACAGGGCACAGUACACUGCACUGGCCAAGAGCUAGAAAGAAAACAUGUGUGCACACCAAGAUGUGGUGAGGAAGAAAGUGCUGCUGGGAGGCCUGUGCGAAGGGCCCUUUCAGGAAGCUUCCUCAGUACUCUAGCUGUGCGACUCUGCAGGCAGACAUGUUGCAAGUAUGGGUACUCCUGGAAUGGUGCGUAAGCAUCUUCUUCUGGGCAUGAUCCUUUUGCAACUUCACUCUACCAAAGUUAUAAAAUGUCUUGUGCAAUUGGCCACAUGCUCAAAAUUACAUGGAAAUCUGUCUUGUCGUAUAAAGCAAUCCGUUUUCUGACCACAAAAUGUAGCAAACUUGUCAAUAGCAGUCUUUGGCUCCUUUUUUUUGUUUUUUUGAAAGAGUCUCACUGUGUCCCUGCAGGCUGGAGUGCAGUGGUGCAAUCUGGGCUCACUGCAACCUCUGCCUCCUGGGUUCAAGAGAUUCUUCUGCCUCAGCCUCCAGAGUAGCUGGGAUUACAGAUGCCUUAUUAUGCCUGGCUAAUUUUUUUGUAUUUUUAGUAGAGACAGGGUUCACCAUGUUGGCCAGGCUGGUUUUGAACUUCUGACCUCAAGUGAUCCACCCACCUCGGCCUCCCAAAGUGCUGGGAUUACAGGCCUGAGCCACUGCACCUGGCCAAUUUUUGACUACUGAUUUGAGAAUUUGAAAUGAGAAUUGUUAGCUGAUGCAACAAAGGGCUAUGGCAAUGAAAGCCACCAGCCAUAACCAGUAGGACGUGGUGGCCCCCAUGUUUGUUACUCCUCUCUCUG